RNAcentral lists this non-coding RNA (29 nucleotides) under Mus musculus (house mouse). Lineage: Eukaryota; Metazoa; Chordata; Mammalia; Rodentia; Muridae. The record is from RNAcentral.
UACUGCACACGGUCCCUGCUUCCUGUCAC